This 491-nucleotide long non-coding RNA is filed under the name Zostera marina. RNAcentral's name for it is "long non-coding RNA (ZMAR_LNC005718)". The record is from RNAcentral. Lineage: Eukaryota; Viridiplantae; Streptophyta; Magnoliopsida; Alismatales; Zosteraceae.
UUGGCUUGUGCUUGGGUUUCCGUCCUAAAAAAGAACAAAAUAUUUUUGAUCGAUUAACUUAAUGUUUAUACUAAGAAUUUUAGUAAGUAUUGAAUAAUUUACUUUCAGAGAAGCGAUUUCCGCCAUCAAGUCUUCAUGUUUUUUUUUUCAAGUCCUCCAUUUCUUGGUUAACCGUCUCGAAUCUCUGGUUAACGGCCGUCUCUAAUUGCAUGUUAAAGGCUUUUUUAACACGACUAUCGAAUUCUUCUUUUUUAUUCUUUUCUAUUUCUUCUCUUGUUCGACGAUCUAUUUUAGCCUUAGAUUUCUUUGGCAUCAAAGAAUCGUCCCCUGGUCUAAUUCCGAGAAUACGUCCUUUAGUCUUGCCUCCUGUAGUCCUAAUCUAAGCUUUCAGACUAUCAUCAAUGAAUAGAGGCUUUUUUCGCUUGUAGGAGGUCGAUCCUUGCGUCGAUAUUUCUUCUUCGUCUGUUUCCUCCUCCUCCUCCUCCUCCUCC